This 1351-nucleotide ribosomal RNA is filed under the name uncultured marine eukaryote. RNAcentral's name for it is "SSU rRNA". It matches the Rfam family "Eukaryotic small subunit ribosomal RNA", at positions 412 to 1778 of the family's 1831-position model. The record is from RNAcentral.
CCUUUUCAGGAAGGAGCAGGCGCGCAAUUACCCAAUCCUGACUCAGGGAGGUAGUGACAAGAAAUAACAAUAAACCGGCUUAUGCCGGUUUAAUUGGAAUGAGUACAAUUUAAACAUCUUAACGAGGAACAAUUGGAGGGCAAGUCUGGUGCCAGCAGCCGCGGUAAUUCCAGCUCCAAUAGCGUAUACUAAAGUUGUUGCAGUUAAAAAGCUCGUAGUUGGAUUUCUGUGGGGACGGAGCGGCCGGCCGCAACAUGCGGUUCGAGCUAGCGCUUUCCCUACAUCCUGCCGCGAACCGUGCUACCAUUAGUUUGGUGGCGCCGGGGAUCGGCUCGAUUACUUUGAGAAAAAUAGAGUGUUCAAAGCAGGCCACAUGCCUUGAAUAAGUUAGCAUGGAAUAAUAACUAAGGACUUCGGUUCUAUUUUGUUGGUGUUCGGGACUGAAGUAAUGAUUGAUAGGGACAGUUGGGGCGGUCUGUAUUCCAAAGCGAGAGGUGAAAUUCUUAGACCUUCGGAAGACAAACAGCUGCGAAAGCGUUCCGCAAGGAUGUUCCCUUUGAUCAAGAACGAAAGUUGGGGGAUCGAAGACGAUCAGAUACCGUCGUAGUCUCAACUAUAAACUAUACCAGCUAGGGAUCGGCCAACGUUAUUUCAUACCGACUUGGUCGGCACCUUAUGAGAAAUCAAAGCAUCUGGGUUCCGGGGGGAGUAUGGUCGCAAGGCUGAAACUUAAAGGAAUUGACGGAAGGGCACCACCAGCCGUGGAGCCUGCGGCUUAAUUUGACUCAACACGGGAAAACUUACCAGGUCCAGACAUAGUAAGGAUUGACAGAUUGAUAGCUCUUUCUUGAUUCUGUGGGUGGUGGUGCAUGGCCGUUCUUAGUUGGUGGAGUGAUUUGUCUGGUUAAUUCCGUUAACGAACGAGACCCCAGCCUGCUAAAUAGCGCGCGUGAGCUUUGCUCGCGGCGAGCUUCUUAGAGGGACUAUGAUGCGCGAUAGCACAUGGAAGUUUGGGGCAAUAACAGGUCUGUGAUGCCCUUAGAUGUUCUGGGCCGCACACGGGCUACACUGGCGCCUGCAACGAGCAUAUCAGCUGGUCCGAGAGGAUCUUGGCUAAUCUUUUGAACCGGCGCCGUGCUUGGGAUUGACCUUUGCAAUUGUUGGUCAUGCAACGAGGAAUGCCUUGUAAACGCGAGUCAUCAGCUCGCAUUGAAUACGUCCCUGCCCUUUGUACACACCGCCCGUCGCUCCUACCGAUGAAUGUUCCGAUGAAAUUUUCGGAGAGUGCCUGUGAGCUUGGCUCUGCCUUGCGAACGGGAAGCUCAAAGUCACUUAAAUCGAACAUUUAAAG